CAAUGGGAAAAUAGGGGACACUUGAAGACAUGGGGACACAGACACCAGGGACAAAGAUACUAGAGACACUGGCUGGGGGACAUUGAGACAUGUGGGCACUGAGAGACAUGGGGACACUGAGACACCAGGGCCACAGACACUAGGGACACUAGCUUGGGGACAUUGUGACACUUGAGGCACUAGGAGACAUGGGGACAGUGAGACACUGGCAGACUGGGGGCACUGGGAGACUAGGGGUCACUGGGAGACUAG
This is a non-coding RNA of Pelobates cultripes (western spadefoot toad), 252 nucleotides long. The record is from the annotation of a GenBank genome assembly. Lineage: Eukaryota; Metazoa; Chordata; Amphibia; Anura; Pelobatidae.